Molecule: ribosomal RNA, 253 nt
Filed under: uncultured bacterium
Lineage: Bacteria
Description: partial 16S ribosomal RNA
Rfam family: Bacterial small subunit ribosomal RNA
Source: RNAcentral
UACGUAGGGCGCGAGCGUUGUCCGGAUUUAUUGGGCGUAAAGAGCUCGUAGGCGGCUUGUUGCGUCGACUGUGAAAACCCGCGGCUUAACCGCGGGCUUGCAGUUGAUACGGGCAGGCUAGAGUUCGGUAGGGGAGACUGGAAUUCCUGGUGUAGCGGUGAAAUGCGCAGAUAUCAGGAGGAACACCGGUGGCGAAGGCGGGUCUCUGGGCAGUAACUGACGCUGAGGAGCGAAAGCGUGGGGAGCGAACAGG